Molecule: transfer RNA, 71 nt
Filed under: Catenulispora sp.
Lineage: Bacteria; Bacillati; Actinomycetota; Actinomycetes; Catenulisporales; Catenulisporaceae
Description: tRNA-Ser
Source: RNAcentral
CCGGUGUGCAGGCAACGGAUACUUCUCCUGCUAAGAGAGAGACCCGGGUUCGAAUCCCGGCCACCGGUCCA